GGAAGGGCUUUAGCUCAGCGGUAAGAGAAUCUGCUUUGCACCCAAAAGGUCCAAGGUUCAAUCCCCAGCCUCUCCA
Podarcis lilfordi (Lilford's wall lizard) is the source of this 76-nucleotide non-coding RNA. Lineage: Eukaryota; Metazoa; Chordata; Lepidosauria; Squamata; Lacertidae. The record is from the annotation of a GenBank genome assembly.